Molecule: ribosomal RNA, 1183 nt
Filed under: uncultured bacterium
Lineage: Bacteria
Description: bacterial SSU rRNA
Rfam family: Bacterial small subunit ribosomal RNA
Source: RNAcentral
CCAUGGCCUCCCCGGGAAAGCCUUAACGGCGCGGGAUGGGGUCGCGGCCCAUUAGGUAGACGGCGGGGUAACGGCCCACCGUGCCCGCGAUGGGUAGCCGGACUGAGAGGUCGACCGGCCACAUUGGGACUGAGAUACGGCCCAGACUCCUACGGGAGGCAGCAGUGGGGAAUUUUGCGCAAUGGGGGGAACCCUGACGCAGCAACGCCGCGUGCGGGACGAAGGCCUUCGGGUUGUAAACCGCUUUCAGCAGGGAAGACAUAGACGGUACCUGCAGAAGAAGCUCCGGCUAACUACGUGCCAGCAGCCGCGGUAAUACGUAGGGGGCGAGCGUUAUCCGGAUUCAUUGGGCGUAAAGCGCGCGUAGGCGGCCGCCUAAGCGGAACCUCUAAUCCCGGGGCUCAACCUCGGGCCGGGUUCCGGACUGGGCGGCUCGAGUGCGGUAGAGGCAGGCGGAAUUCCCGGUGUAGCGGUGGAAUGCGCAGAUAUCGGGAAGAACACCGAUGGCGAAGGCAGCCUGCUGGGCCGCCACUGACGCUGAGGCGCGAAAGCUGGGGGAGCGAACAGGAUUAGAUACCCUGGUAGUCCCAGCCGUAAACGAUGGACGCUAGGUGUGGGGGGACCAUCCCCCCGUGCCGCAGCCAACGCAUUAAGCGUCCCGCCUGGGGAGUACGGCCGCAAGGCUAAAACUCAAAGGAAUUGACGGGGGCCCGCACAAGCAGCGGAGCAUGUGGCUUAAUUCGAAGCAACGCGAAGAACCUUACCAGGGCUUGACAUGCGAGUGAAGCCGCGGAGACGCGGUGGCCGAGAGGAGCUCGCGCAGGUGGUGCAUGGCAGUCGUCAGCUCGUGUCGUGAGAUGUUGGGUUAAGUCCCGCAACGAGCGCAACCCCCGUCCCGUGUUGCCAGCAUUGAGUUGGGGACUCGCGGGAGACUGCCAGGGAUAACCUGGAGGAAGGCGGGGAUGACGUCAAAUCAUCAUGCCCCUUAUGAUUUGGGCUACACACGUGCUACAAUGGCGUAAACAAAGGGAAGCGAGAUUGUGAGAUGGAGCAAAUCCCAAAAAUAACGUCCCAGUUCGGACUGUAGUCUGCAACCCGACUACACGAAGCUGGAAUCGCUAGUAAUCGCGGAUCAGAAUGCCGCGGUGAAUACGUUCCCGGGUCUUGCACACACCGCCCGUCA